Pseudopodoces humilis (Tibetan ground-tit) is the source of this 718-nucleotide non-coding RNA. The record is from RefSeq and is a predicted model, not a curated record. Lineage: Eukaryota; Metazoa; Chordata; Aves; Passeriformes; Paridae.
CAGGAGCUCCACAACCCCCUCCCUCCCUCCUUCCAUCCCAUCCGAGGAGCUGCUGUCCCACCCAGCCCCAGCCCAGUUCAGGCCUUAAACCAGGCCUUAAACCAGGAGUUAAAUCAGGCCUUAAACCAGGAGUGAAACCUGGAGUUAAACCAGGAGUGAAAGCAGGAGCUAAAUCAGGCCUUAAGCCUGGACUUAAACCAGGAGUUAAAUCAGGCCUUAAACCUGGAGUUAAAGCAGGCCUUAAGCCAGGAAUUAAAGCAGGCCUUAAACCAGGAGUUAAAUCAGCCUUAAACCUGGAGUUAAAGCAGGCCUUAAGCCAGGAGUUAAAGCAGGCCUUAAACGUGGAAUUAAAGCAGGCCUUAAACCAGGAGCUAAAUUAGGCCUUAAACCAGGAGUUAAACCAGGAGCUACAUCAGGCCUUAAACCAGGAGUUAAGCAGGGCUUCAGUCAGGCCUAGCCCUGGGCUCUGGCUCAGCCAGGCUCAGGACCUGCAGUGUGAACAGGGACAGGGAUCUGCAGCACCAGGCCAGUUCUAACUCACAAAGGUGUUUGUUUCUAACCCCUGGGAUUAAUUAGUGCUCAAUUAACAGCGUUUGCUGGUGGCUGGAGCCCGGCAGGGCCGCUGGGACCAGCGCUGGGUGUUGGGGUCAGGGCAGGGAGGAGUGCUUUGCAAUUCCUGUGGAUAUAAAAAUGUGCAAUAAAUUAAUUUUCAAGCCUC